GUUGCUCGAACAAUUACACAUCUCUCCGUGGUGAGCAACAGGCAACGAUCUCUUAUAAUCGGAUGAGAUGUGAUA
RNAcentral lists this ribozyme (75 nucleotides) under unclassified sequences. RNAcentral's name for it is "HDV ribozyme from F. prausnitzii". It matches the Rfam family "HDV ribozyme from F. prausnitzii". The record is from RNAcentral.